GCGCUCACUUCGGCAGCACACAUACUAAAAUUGGAAUGAUACAGAGAAGAUUAGCAUGGCCCCUGCUCAAGGAUGACAUGCAAAUUCAUAAAGCAUUCCAUAAAAAU
RNAcentral lists this small nuclear RNA (107 nucleotides) under Pan paniscus (pygmy chimpanzee). The record is from RNAcentral. Lineage: Eukaryota; Metazoa; Chordata; Mammalia; Primates; Hominidae.